Molecule: non-coding RNA, 609 nt
Organism: Paramuricea clavata
Lineage: Eukaryota; Metazoa; Cnidaria; Anthozoa; Malacalcyonacea; Plexauridae
Source: the annotation of a GenBank genome assembly
UUACUAAAAACUGCGACACUGUAGAAAAUUCAACUGCCUGAAAAAUACAAAAAGAACUUCGACACUUCGAGCGAAGGCCCAUCCUUAAACGACCAGCCUGACGAAGGGCCUUCGCUCGAAACGUCAAAGUUCGUUUUGUAUUCUUCACGUAAUUGAAUCUUCCAGUGUCGCAAUUUUAAUCCUUGCUACCUAUACGGCUAUACUGCCAAUGAAGGUCCAUACAGACCGAACGCGAUUCGACAACGCGACGCGAAUUUUCAGUUUUUAAAAACAAAUAAAACCGUCAACGGAUAAAAAUUUAUAGAGCAUAGCAAUAGGCAAUUCCAGCUUUUAGUUUAUGCGUGCAGGGGAUGAUGGGAAGUAAGGCAUCAUAUUGCCGGUUAUGCUGAAAAAGUUCAAUAAAAACUGCCGAAAUAACAGAAAUAUUUGAAUAUUUACAAGUAUAAGCUGUCACUCCGUGUUUACACGGCCACCAUUAUUAUUUCUUCAGCAUAAUCAGCAACACGAUGCCUUACUUCCCGUCAUCCCCUGCACACAUAAACUAAAAGCUGGAAUUGCCUAUUCAAAUAUUUCCAUUGUAUAUAUAAGUAUUGGAAAGCCCAAACCGAG